UAGCUAGUUGGUGGGGUAAGGGCCUACCAAGGCGACGAUCGGUAGCUGGUCUGAGAGGAUGACCAGCCACACUGGAACUGAGACACGGUCCAGACUCCUACGGGAGGCAGCAGUGGGGAAUAUUGGACAAUGGGGGGAACCCUGAUCCAGCAAUGCCGCGUGUGUGAAGAAGGCCUGAGGGUUGUAAAGCACUUUCAGUGGGGAGGAGGGUUGAUAGGUUAAGAGCUAAUUAACUGGACGUUACCCACAGAAGAAGCACCGGCUAACUCCGUGCCAGCAGCCGCGGUAAUACGGAGGGUGCGAGCGUUAAUCGGAAUUACUGGGCGUAAAGCGUGCGUAGGUGGUUGAUUAAGUUAUCUGUGAAAUCCCUGGGCUUAACCUGGGCAGGUCAGAUGAUACUGGUUGACUCGAGUAUGGGAGAGGGUAGUGGAAUUUCCGGUGUAGCGGUGAAAUGCGUAGAGAUCGGAAGGAACACCAGUGGCGAAGGCGGCUACCUGGCCUAAUACUGACACUGAGGCACGAAAGCGUGGGGAGCAAACAGGAUUAGAUACCCUGGUAGUCCACGCUGUAAACGAUGUCAACUAGCUGUUGGUUAUAUGAAAAUGAUUAGUGGCGC
This 616-nucleotide ribosomal RNA is filed under the name uncultured Legionella sp. RNAcentral describes it as "bacterial SSU rRNA". It matches the Rfam family "Bacterial small subunit ribosomal RNA", at positions 242 to 849 of the family's 1533-position model. Lineage: Bacteria; Pseudomonadati; Pseudomonadota; Gammaproteobacteria; Legionellales; Legionellaceae. The record is from RNAcentral.